GCGCAGCAGUCGCGAAACCUCCGCAAUGCGGGAAACCGUGACGGGGUCACCCCGAGUGCCACCCGAUGAGGGUGGCUUUUCCCCGGUCUAAAAAGCCGGGGGCAAUAAGCGGGGGGCAAGUCUGGUGUCAGCCGCCGCGGUAAUACCAGCCCCGCGAGUGGUCGGGACGUUUAUUGGGCCUAAAGCGUCCGUAGCCGGCUCGGUAAGUCCCUCCUUAAAUCCACGGGCUCAACCCGUGGGCUGGGAGGGAUACUGCCGGGCUAGGGGGCGGGAGAGGCCGAGGGUACUCCCGGGGUAGGGGCGAAAUCCGUUAAUCCCGGGAGGACCACCAGUGGCGAAGGCGCUCGGCUGGAACGCGCCCGACGGUGAGGGACGAAAGCUGGGGGAGCAAAGGGGAUUAGAUACCCGGGUAGU
RNAcentral lists this ribosomal RNA (414 nucleotides) under uncultured microorganism. RNAcentral's name for it is "bacterial SSU rRNA". It matches the Rfam family "Archaeal small subunit ribosomal RNA", at positions 330 to 745 of the family's 1478-position model. The record is from RNAcentral.